Molecule: ribosomal RNA, 393 nt
Filed under: uncultured bacterium
Lineage: Bacteria
Description: partial 16S ribosomal RNA
Rfam family: Bacterial small subunit ribosomal RNA
Source: RNAcentral
AUACGGAGGAUCCGAGCGUUAUCCGGAUUUAUUGGGUUUAAAGGGAGCGUAGGCGGACGCUUAAGUCAGUUGUGAAAGUUUGCGGCUCAACCGUAAAAUUGCAGUUGAUACUGGGUGUCUUGAGUACAGUAGAGGCAGGCGGAAUUCGGGGGGUAGCGGUGAAAUGCUUAGAUAUCACGAAGAACUCCGAUUGCGAAGGCAGCCUGCUGGACUGUAACUGACGCUGAUGCUCGAAAGUGUGGGUAUCAAACAGGAUUAGAUACCCUGGUAGUCCACACAGUAAACGAUGAAUACUCGCUGUUUGCGAUAUACAGUAAGCGGCCAAGCGAAAGCGUUAAGUAUUCCACCUGGGGAGUACGCCGGCAACGGUGAAACUCAAAGGAAUUGACGGGG